This 332-nucleotide ribosomal RNA is filed under the name uncultured eukaryote. Its description in RNAcentral is "partial 18S ribosomal RNA". It matches the Rfam family "Eukaryotic small subunit ribosomal RNA", at positions 1470 to 1796 of the family's 1831-position model. The record is from RNAcentral.
CCCUUAGAUGUUCUUGGCUGCACCCGUGCUACACUGGCAGGUUCAGCGAGCUUCAUGCCCUGAUCUGAAAGGAAUGGGAAAUCUUUUCAAAACCUGCCGUGCUUGGGAUAGAUGUUUGCAAUUAUUCAUCUUCAACGAGGAUUGCCUUGUAAGCGCACGUCAUCAGCGUGCAUUGAAUACGACCCUGUAUUCUGUACACACCGCCCGUCGCUCCUACCGAUUGAAGUUUUCGGUGAGUUGACAGGAGGAUUUUUUUGAAACUGGUUCGCCAGUGGAUUUUAGAUCCAAAUGCCAACGAAUCGAUGGCUUUAGAGGAAGGAGAAGUCGUAACA